AUACAAUGAGCUACGUACAACGAAGCGCAAAGUUGAACUUAGAUAUAGAAUUUCAAAUUCCAUAACCUCUUCAAGGGUCUCAUUUGCUUAUAACGUAUGGACAAUCAUAGGUAUACUCAAAGGUAACACAUUCAAGGUGUAGUUCGACUAGUAGACCAAAAUACCGUCAGAACAAUGCUUCAACUUCAAGUCAAGGCAUAAACGAGUUUUCCCAAUAUCCUUCAUCUCAAAUUCCAUCUUCAGGUGCGAGACAGUUUUCUCAAGCUCUUCCAGAGUCUUAGUGAGAUUCGUGUUAACGACAUAAACUGUAACUCUAGCAAUUUGGAAUAAGACUUCAUAGUUUAACACGCAAGGGCAUAAUUCAUAUCCCUGACUGAUCAAAUAAUCACGUAGACGGGUAUACCACAUCCGUCAGAUUUUUCAAUCCAUAAGUGAACGCCUCAAAACGAGUUAAGAGGGUGUUCCGUGGUUUUGGAACUAUUUGAAACAAUCCAUGAAAUUCUUCGAGAACUUACAUGUAAAUCUCCGUAUCUAUAUCCCUAAGGAGAAAACACUAACCACAUUUCAUAAUGCUACUAUCAAUCACAUGACGUUUUGAGAGAAACCUUGUGUCGUAAGGUGUGCAUCAUAUCACACUAUUUCAUUCAUCUCAUAACGCUUCCUUUCCCAAUUGGAACACAACAGGGUUACCUUGGGCAGUGUAGGAACGACAUGUCCAAUACACACUUUGGUAAGGAAUUUGACCUGGAUUGUAACUUCAGUUGUCCAAUCAAGUCUACGUUGUCACUUAAUCAACGGAACAAGAACUUCAAGUCUCGAUGAUAUCAUAACUUGACCUUGAUUGUAACUUGACCUGGUUCGAUAUCGUUGCUUUUCAUUUAUGUCGGUAGCUACCAUAUAAGUGAAAACAUCAUCUAUGAUAAUCUCAUUUCAAUUCCAUUUAGCUCAUCUAAACUAGUAUACUAGACCAAGAACUUCAAGUCUUGGAAGUAAUCUGGAUUAAUCCCAUGAGAUGGAAAUGAUUUGAGACAGCGAUCAAGUUUAGAUUCAUUGUUGUGCCGUAUCUUCCU
RNAcentral lists this long non-coding RNA (1070 nucleotides) under Malus domestica (apple). Its description in RNAcentral is "long non-coding RNA (MDOM_LNC003237)". Lineage: Eukaryota; Viridiplantae; Streptophyta; Magnoliopsida; Rosales; Rosaceae. The record is from RNAcentral.